AUACUUUGGCAGUACAUAUACUAAAAUUGGAACAAUACAGAGAAGAUUAGCAUGGCCCUGCACAAGGAUGACAUGCAAAUUCGUGAAGCAUUCCAUAUUUUA
RNAcentral lists this small nuclear RNA (102 nucleotides) under Octopus vulgaris (common octopus). Lineage: Eukaryota; Metazoa; Mollusca; Cephalopoda; Octopoda; Octopodidae. The record is from RNAcentral. RNAcentral also lists the same sequence under 1 other name.